GACGAACGCUGGCGGCGUGCUUAACACAUGCAAGUCGAACGGACAGGCCCUGCUUUUGUGGGGUGCUCGAGUGGCGAACGGGUGAGUAACACGUGAGUAACCUGUCCCUGACUUUGGGAUAACUUCAUGAAACUUGGGCUCAUACCGGAUAGGAUCUCUUGCCGCAUGGUGGGCGUUCGUAAGUUUCGGCGGUUGGGGAUGUACUAGCGGCCUAUGCGCCUGGUGGUGUGGUAGUUGCUGACCAAGGCUUUGAGGGGUAGCCGGCCUGCGAGGGGGACCGGAGACAUUGCGCCUGAGAUACGCCCCAGACGGGAAUGGGAGGCAGCGGUGGAGAAUGUUACACAAUAGGCGGGAGGCAGAUGCGGCAGCGCCGCGUGCGGGAAGACGGGCUGCGGGUUGUGAACCGAUGUGGCCUGAGACGAGGAGUGAGUGACGGUAAUGGGUAAAGAAGCCCCGGCUAACUACGUG
RNAcentral lists this ribosomal RNA (468 nucleotides) under uncultured bacterium. RNAcentral's name for it is "partial 16S ribosomal RNA". It matches the Rfam family "Bacterial small subunit ribosomal RNA", at positions 28 to 507 of the family's 1533-position model. The record is from RNAcentral.